This 483-nucleotide ribosomal RNA is filed under the name uncultured bacterium. RNAcentral's name for it is "partial 16S ribosomal RNA". It matches the Rfam family "Bacterial small subunit ribosomal RNA", at positions 28 to 507 of the family's 1533-position model. The record is from RNAcentral.
GACGAACGCUGGCGGCGUGCUUAACACAUGCAAGUCGAACGCUGAAGCUCAGCUUUUGUUGGGUGGAUGAGUGGCGAACGGGUGAGUAACACGUGAGUAACCUGCCCCCUUCUUUGGGAUAACGCCCGGAAACGGGUGCUAAUACUGGAUAUUCACUGGUCUUCGCAUGGGGGUUGGUGGAAAGGGUUUUUCUGGUGGGGGAUGGGCUCGCGGCCUAUCAGCUUGUUGGUGGGGUGAUGGCCUACUAAGGCUUUGACGGGUAGCCGGCCUGAGAGGGUGACCGGUCACAUUGGGACUGAGAUACGGCCCAGACUCCUACGGGAGGCAGCAGUGGGGAAGAUUGCACAAUGGGCGCAAGCCUGAUGCAGCGACGCCGCGUGAGGGAUGGAGGCCUUCGGGUUGUGAACCUCUUUCGCUCAUGGUCAAGCCGCAACAAUGGUUGUGGUGAGGGUAGUGGGUAAAGAAGCGCCGGCUAACUACGUG